RNAcentral lists this ribosomal RNA (704 nucleotides) under Staphylococcus aureus. Its description in RNAcentral is "partial 23S ribosomal RNA". It matches the Rfam family "Bacterial large subunit ribosomal RNA", at positions 328 to 1034 of the family's 2925-position model. The record is from RNAcentral. Lineage: Bacteria; Bacillati; Bacillota; Bacilli; Caryophanales; Staphylococcaceae.
AUUAGACGAAUCAUCUGGAAAGAUGAAUCAAAGAAGGUAAUAAUCCUGUAGUCGAAAAUGUUGUCUCUCUUGAGUGGAUCCUGAGUACGACGGAGCACGUGAAAUUCCGUCGGAAUCUGGGAGGACCAUCUCCUAAGGCUAAAUACUCUCUAGUGACCGAUAGUGAACCAGUACCGUGAGGGAAAGGUGAAAAGCACCCCGGAAGGGGAGUGAAAUAGAACCUGAAACCGUGUGCUUACAAGUAGUCAGAGCCCGUUAAUGGGUGAUGGCGUGCCUUUUGUAGAAUGAACCGGCGAGUUACGAUUUGAUGCAAGGUUAAGCAGUAAAUGUGGAGCCGUAGCGAAAGCGAGUCUGAAUAGGGCGUUUAGUAUUUGGUCGUAGACCCGAAACCAGGUGAUCUACCCUUGGUCAGGUUGAAGUUCAGGUAACACUGAAUGGAGGACCGAACCGACUUACGUUGAAAAGUGAGCGGAUGAACUGAGGGUAGCGGAGAAAUUCCAAUCGAACCUGGAGAUAGCUGGUUCUCUCCGAAAUAGCUUUAGGGCUAGCCUCAAGUGAUGAUUAUUGGAGGUAGAGCACUGUUUGGACGAGGGGCCCCUCUCGGGUUACCGAAUUCAGACAAACUCCGAAUGCCAAUUAAUUUAACUUGGGAGUCAGAACAUGGGUGAUAAGGUCCGUGUUCGAAAGGGAAACAGCCCAGACCA